GACGAACGCUGGCGGCGUGCUUAACACAUGCAAGUCGAACGGAAAGGCCAGUGCUUGCACUGGUACUCGAGUGGCGAACGGGUGAGUAACACGUGGGUGAUCUGCCUUGCACUCUGGGAUAAGCUUGGGAAACUGGGUCUAAUACCGGAUAUGAACUGCCUUUAGUGUGGUGGUUGGAAAGUUUUUUCGGUGCAAGAUGAGCUCGCGGCCUAUCAGCUUGCUGGUGGGGCAAUGGCCUACCAAGGCGUCGACGGGUAGCCGGCCUGAGAGGGUGUACGGCCACAUUGGGACUGAGAUACGGCCCAGACUCCUACGGGAGGCAGCAGUGGGGAAUAUUGCACAAUGGGCGGAAGCCUGAUGCAGCGACGCCGCGUGGGGGAUGACGGCCUUCGGGUUGUAAACUCCUUUCGACAGGGACGAAGCGUAAGUGACGGUACCUGUAUAAGAAGCACCGGCUAACUACGUG
Molecule: ribosomal RNA, 466 nt
Filed under: uncultured bacterium
Lineage: Bacteria
Description: partial 16S ribosomal RNA
Rfam family: Bacterial small subunit ribosomal RNA
Source: RNAcentral